Molecule: ribosomal RNA, 658 nt
Filed under: uncultured organism
Description: bacterial SSU rRNA
Rfam family: Bacterial small subunit ribosomal RNA
Source: RNAcentral
GGCUUAGAGUUUGAUCAUGGCUCAGGAUGAACGCUGGCGGCACGCUUAACACAUGCAAGUCGAGCGGAGUUUUGUGCGGAAGAUUUCGGUUGGAAGUAUAGAACUUAGCGGCGGACGGGUGAGGAACGCGUGGGUAACCUGCCCUGUACAGGGGGAUAACACAGAGAAAUCUGUGCUAAAACCGCAUAAGCUCACGGGACCGCAUGGUCUUGGGAGAAAAACUCCGGUGGUACAGGAUGGGCCCGCGUCUGAUUAGCUAGUUGGAGAGGUAAGAGCUCACCAAGGCGACGAUCAGUAGCCGGUCUGAGAGGAUGGACGGCCACAUUGGGACUGAGACACGGCCCAAACUCCUACGGGAGGCAGCAGUGGGGAAUAUUGCACAAUGGGGGAAACCCUGAUGCAGCGAUGCCGCGUGAAGAAAGAAGAUUUUCGGAUUGUAAACUUCUAUCAGCAAGGAAGAAAACGGACAGUACUUGAGUAAGAAGCCCCGGCUAACUACGUGCCAGCAGCCGCGGUAAUACGUAGGGGGCGAGCGUUAUCCGGAAUUACUGGGUGUAAAGGGUGCGUAGGCGGUACGGCAAGUUUGAUGUGAAACCCUCGGGCUUAACCCGGGGCAUGCAUCGAAAACUACUGAACUAGAGUGCAGGAGAGGAAAGCG